GCAGAUGAGGAAGCCAAGGUCCAAUGAUGUGAAGGGCUCCACCCACUGUCGCACAGCUGUGGGUCCCAGAGCUGGACUGGAACCUGCUUUCUCUUACUCUGUUUGCUUCUUCUCUCCUACUGGCACGUCAACCGGAUCCCACACACAAAAACAGUCCCCGUCCCUGGCCAGAACCGGUUCUUUUGUAGCCAGAGCCAUCCUCCUCCAGCUGGGGAGUCGUGUGGGCCUGCCUGCAGACUGACGGUUGGUUGGAGGGAGGGUGUUUCUAAACACCUGAAAGACUGCAGUUGAUGGCUAUCAAGCCCCAACCAGCCUCUUCUGUCUGCCAGAGACAAAGCAAGAAUGUUCCCCUCCUGAGGUCUCAGUUUACAGGCUUGUCACAUUGAUAAUUAGGCAAGGCUCGCCACCUGCACUCCUGUUUAGAGGUUCCUCCCGAGACAGUCCUGACAUCGCCUUUAAUCAGCCCAGCUGUGACUCCACCUGUUUCCACUGCCACCUCCAGACAGAGGGGAUUGCUCUAGGGCCAGAAGGCUAUGAACUGGGCCGACUUUGUGGGACAGCACAACCAGUUGGAUAAUCUGAUAAGACCAAGAAGGAUAAUCCUUUCCUGUCCUCCUAGGAGAAUCAAGUCCCUCAAGCCUGAAAUUCCAUCUUUAGUGCACACUUUGUGCUGAGCAUUACCCUCUGUGAUAAUCCUCAUUUCAAGUAAAAAAAAAAAAAAAAACCCUCUAGGAGGGCAGGAAUAUAAAUUUUUAGCAUUGCAAUACAUUGAUCAGACUGGGAAAGGUAGCGUGAAAAUCUUGGGUGUUGGAGGUGCGGGCCCGCACGAGAACUGGGGGGAGGGAGUUCAAGAAGUUGAUGUACGCUGAGUGCUAAAGAGGAGUCAUGGCACCCAAGGCAAAAUGAGAGUGUUUCCUGAGGGGCCAGAGUUACAGGUCCUUGUUUCCUCUUCCCCCUGAGAGAGACAGAAAAACAAUUUUUUUAAACCCAUAGACUUCCAUGCAUAUGAAUUCACAGUGACUGUUGUGGACACUGUUGUUUGGCCAUCCAACAAAACAACAUUCCCUUUUCUUUGGGGGACCAUUCUUUCCAUCUUUUACGUCUAUGUGGUUCAGGGAAAGCUGACUUCACCCCCACACUUCACCCCUUUAGGCCUGGACCUCCACAUUGUCGUACCCCAUAGUCCUGCUGGCUACCGUCACUGUUACAUGGACCAACAGGCAUGUGGCCUGUGCUAAACCAUUUAAACUCAAAUGUAGGGCUUUUACUGAAACUACUGGGGAAGGAACCACCUCUCUGCUGGUCGUGCUAAGCUGAUGGAACAGAAGCCAGCUAGUGAUCUUAUGAUGACACAUGAGGUAUGUGCCCAUUGGGAGUGAAACCAAUUCAGAGGAGGAUGGAAUCAAAGCUUUAGAGAGCCACACUGCUUAUGAUAGCAUUCGCACACCUGGCUCUCACUGCACCUGCAGCCAGCACAACCUCAGACUUUUCGGUUGCUUGAGCCAAAAAACGUCUGCCUCUUUCUUAAGCCAGUUUGAGUUUCUGAUGCAACAGAACAAGUUCUAAGUAUAACACAGACUUUAUCGUAUGGCUCACAAUGCUGCUUGUCCUCAGCUGGUGGCACCCUCCUUCUCCACCUGAUUCUGCUGCAUUCUAGUGAAUUUGGCUCAAACCUGGGCCUUGGUGUGGUCAUCAGUUAACUGGGGGGCGAUAACAGGACAGAUAGAAAGGAGGGAAAGAG
Molecule: long non-coding RNA, 1741 nt
Filed under: Canis lupus familiaris (dog)
Lineage: Eukaryota; Metazoa; Chordata; Mammalia; Carnivora; Canidae
Description: lncRNA (ENSCAFG00845023533.1)
Source: RNAcentral